CUAUGGCCACGCCUGUCCGAGGGUCG
RNAcentral lists this ribosomal RNA (26 nucleotides) under Koellikerioides intestinalis. RNAcentral's name for it is "partial 5.8S ribosomal RNA". The record is from RNAcentral. RNAcentral also lists the same sequence under 9 other names. Lineage: Eukaryota; Metazoa; Platyhelminthes; Trematoda; Azygiida; Didymozoidae.